This 269-nucleotide long non-coding RNA is filed under the name Ananas comosus (pineapple). RNAcentral's name for it is "long non-coding RNA (ACOM_LNC043046)". The record is from RNAcentral. Lineage: Eukaryota; Viridiplantae; Streptophyta; Magnoliopsida; Poales; Bromeliaceae.
CACGUGAGCGCGCGGCGGCGCGAGGCGAGGGCGUAGCUCCAUAGUUAGCGCCCCACCACCGAGAUCAGAGAUAGCGGUACCCUGAGUCGGCCUUACUUAGGGAUGUAAGAAAAUGAAAAGAAUCAAGUUGUAAUAGUAUUGUUAAAGCUAGAUUGUAUUUGGAAGCUAAAAAUAAUGAAAGAUGUAAUAUGUAAAUAUAUGUGAGUUGAAGGAUUGUAAUAACUUAGUUGUAUUUAUGUUUAUGAUACUUCCUUAUGCAAUCUUUAAUU